RNAcentral lists this transfer RNA (73 nucleotides) under Paramuricea clavata. It matches the Rfam family "tRNA". From Rfam's summary of the family: Transfer RNA (tRNA) molecules are approximately 80 nucleotides in length. Lineage: Eukaryota; Metazoa; Cnidaria; Anthozoa; Malacalcyonacea; Plexauridae. The record is from Rfam by way of RNAcentral.
GACCGCGUAGCUCAGUUGGAAGAACAUUGGGCUAGUAUUCCAAAGGUCGUAGGUUCGAAUCCCGCCGUGGCCA